RNAcentral lists this ribosomal RNA (482 nucleotides) under uncultured bacterium. RNAcentral's name for it is "bacterial SSU rRNA". It matches the Rfam family "Bacterial small subunit ribosomal RNA", at positions 28 to 507 of the family's 1533-position model. The record is from RNAcentral.
GACGAACGCUGGCGGCGUGCCUAAUACAUGCAAGUCGAACGGGGUAAGCCUCUUCGGAGACUUACUUAGUGGCGGACGGGUGAGUAACGCGUGAGUAACCUGCCUUACAGAGGGGGACAACAGUUGGAAACGACUGCUAAUACCGCAUAACAUAUUAAGAAGGCAUCUUCAUAAUAUCAAAGGAGUAAUCCGCUGUAAGAUGGACUCGCGUCCGAUUAGAUAGUUGGUGGGGUAACGGCCUACCAUGGCGACGAUGUCUAGGGGUUCUGAGAGGAAGGUCCCCCANACUGGAACUGAGACACGGUCCAGACUCCUACGGGAGGCAGCAGUGAGGAAUAUUGGUCAAUGGUCUGACGACUGAACCAGCCAUGCCGCGUGAAGGUCACGGCCUAUGGGUCUUAAACUUCUUUUGUAAGGGAGCAAUAAGGCGUACGUGUACGUCGAUGAGAGUACCUUACGAAUAAGCAUCGGCUAACUCCGUG